RNAcentral lists this ribosomal RNA (253 nucleotides) under uncultured bacterium. RNAcentral's name for it is "partial 16S ribosomal RNA". It matches the Rfam family "Bacterial small subunit ribosomal RNA", at positions 524 to 776 of the family's 1533-position model. The record is from RNAcentral.
GACGAACCGUGCGAACGUUGUUCGGAAUCACUGGGCUUAAAGGGCGCGUAGGCGGCUCGCGAGGUCGGGGGUGAAAUCCCGCAGCUUAACUGCGGAAGAGCCUUCGAUACCGGCGGGCUAGAGGAAGGUAGGGGUGCGCGGAACUUCUGGUGGAGCGGUGAAAUGCGUUGAUAUCAGAAGGAACGCCGGCGGCGAAAGCGGCGCACUGGACCUUUUCUGACGCUGAGGCGCGAAAGCCAGGGGAGCAAACGGG